This is a transfer RNA of Camelus ferus (Wild Bactrian camel), 73 nucleotides long. It matches the Rfam family "tRNA". Rfam says of the family: Transfer RNA (tRNA) molecules are approximately 80 nucleotides in length. Their secondary structure includes four short double-helical elements and three loops (D, anti-codon, and T loops). NCBI's taxonomy places the organism in Eukaryota, Metazoa, Chordata, Mammalia, Artiodactyla, Camelidae. The record is from Rfam.
GAGGGUAUAGCUCAAACGGUAGAGCACAUACUGAGCAUGCAUGAGGUCCUGGGUUCAAUCCCCAGCACCUCCU